Molecule: long non-coding RNA, 13582 nt
Filed under: Citrus sinensis (sweet orange)
Lineage: Eukaryota; Viridiplantae; Streptophyta; Magnoliopsida; Sapindales; Rutaceae
Description: long non-coding RNA (CSIN_LNC004759)
Source: RNAcentral
UUUUUUUUCUACAUCUCUAUUGGAGUUAAUUACCUUUUAGUCGUUUUACUCUUUUACCCCACUAGCUUUUCUGGGAAUUGAGUCUUUUGUUCUUCUUAAUUUUGCUUUAUUGCUGUUUAGUCUCACUUAGAACACUGGUUUUGGUUGCUUGGAUUGUUGGCACAAGCAAUACAUGUUUUGGAUUGUCAGUUAUUUGUUUGGUUUUCAAAGUAAAUUGUAAAAGUUGAAGUGGGUAAUGAUCCAUAUACUGUUUGGGCUCCUUAAGUGUAGCUUUUGGAUAUUGCGGGUUUGGCAAUCAGAUACAUUAUGUUUGAUUGUGGUUGCUAGCUUGCUUUGCUUGUCCUUUUCGAUGUACUUAUCUUAAUGCUAUAAGUAACAGCUAAACUAAUCUACUUGAGUUGGAAUUAAACUUCCUGGUUUCUAACAUUAAUGUUCUUUCGUUUCUUUCUGUCAAAAAGACAAUAUUUUGAGCCUUUUGUUUUCCCCUCAUCAGAGGCUAACUGCUGCGGAUCGCAAGUUGGCUGAGGAAGAGUGUUGUGAAAACCAUGGUUCUUGAAACAGUUUUAUCGUCCCCUCAUCGUAGGUCAUCAUCAUUUAAGAGGCAGUUUACGAAAGACGAAUUCGGUAGCUGGUCAACGCUCGCUGAGAGGCAUCGUUUCCUAUUAACAGCAUUGGUUCUCUUGGGUCUCCUCUGUACUAUUUACCUCUAUUUUGCUGUCACUUUAGGGGCAGCCACAUCAUGCUCUGGGUUAAUUGGAACCGAGAAAGCACUGUGUCAUUUAGAGCAGGCCAAGGCUUCAGUGGCAAAGGGAAAGCUGAAGUUUCUCUAGCAAUAGUAGAAAUAACAAUUCUACUCUCUUUUUUUUAAUUAUUUUUCAAAUUUAAGAGGUUGGAAGUUCAAGAAUAUGAUUUAGUUCUGUAACUUGUGGUUUGGGGAGCGGGUUCGAAGCUGUUUAUGCAUGUAUACAUAAUGUGUAGAAGAAUUUGUUCUGGAAGGCGGAAGCUAUGUCAUUAAUUAAUAUUAAUGAUUUAUUUUUUUUGCCGCGGACAAGCCAAAUAGUCAAUUAUUCUUGUUGUUUUGUGAAUAAGCAAAUAUUAUUAAGAUUUUUUAUUUAUUUAUUUUUUAUUAUUACUUGAUUUUUUAUUAUUACUUGAUCUUUUAUUAUUGUGAUUGGGAAUCGAGGACCAAAGUUUGAUCGAGAAGAGUAGGAUAAAGAUUUAUGUGGUGGCUGUUUGAAAAUAAAAAUAAAAAUUAUAAUAAGAAUAAAUUCAGAAUGAGAUCAAAUAUGUUUGGAUAAAGAUUAGUUUUAAAUUUUUUAUAUGGUUAACUGAAAAGUGAGGGCUCGUGAAAGACAAUAUGAGGGCUCGUGAAAUAAAAUAUGAGGGCUCAUGAAUAAUAAUAAAAGAUCAAGUAAUAAUAAUAAAAGUAUAAAACUUAUAAAAUCAAUUUUGAAAAGAAAAGAGAACUCUCAUAAUCACUAUAAGGUCUCUAUUUUUUUUUUAAGUUUUAUUCAUUAUUCCCAUAACUAUAAAAAAAAAAAUUCGAUACGUCUUCAUCAUCCUCUAUUGGGUAUCAUAAAUUAAUUUAUUCCAUAAUACUAAAAGUAGAGUACAUAAUAUUUGAGAAAAGAUAAUAAUUUAAAAAGAUAAAAGAAAUUAUUGUUUAAGAAAUUAGAUUAGUAUAUUAGAUAUUAAUAAAAAUUAUUAUGUGGGUAUACUUAAAAACUAUUUACCUUUUUAAGUUAUUUCAUGUAAAGAUAAAAUAAGUAUUCGCAUAAAAGUGAUUAAUGGGAACUGUUGAGAUAUAAGAAAGGAACCAAAUAUCACAACUCUAAAAACAUUCUUAACUUUAUUACGAUAAAUUUCAAUUUAUCUCUAUUUAAAAUCACAUUUUUCUAUUUAUCAAUACACAUUCCCAUUUACUAUCAUCUUCUAAUGAAAAUGACAAUUGGGCUUCACAGCUAAAAUAAAACUAUGAUAAAUUGAGUUUCACAUUUAAAAUAAAUUUAGUCUUUUGAAAUUAUUAAUUAUUGGCUGAUUUGAUGUUUGGUUCCCACCCAAACUUAUAGAGUAUUUGAUGAAACUAUGAUACAGACAAAUCAUUUUUCAAUCUACAUAAUUUGACUAUUAUAUCCUUCUAAAUUAUGAUGCCAUAUCUUUAUCGCAUCCUCAAACUGGGGUUAGGUUAGUAAUUUGGAAUCAAGAUGGGCAUAACAUUCGAAUUUUGGAAGAAAGGGCAGCACUAGUCCAUGUACAUGAAUAAACUUUUGUGGGGUCACAUCGAGCACAAAUUCCUCGUAAAAAAUUUAAGCACAACGAAACGACAGCGCCACCGUUGAAUGAAAGACAAGUAAAAGACUUUUGAAGUGAGGAAUUUGCAGGAAAAAAAAAAAAAAAAAAAAGAUCCUUUUUCAGCAGAAGCAGCAUAGCAAUGGCGGAAAGUGUUGUGCAAGAAGAGCAUCUCGACGUCCUAACAAUGACUGGCCAAAAAACUGGGAUCACUAAGCCCAGGCAUGUGCACUUUAAUUCUAUUACUGCUUUCAAUUUUUAAUUUUUUAAUUUUUAAUAUGACUAGAAUUUGAUCAACCAAUUUCAAACUUAAAAAAACAAAAAAAACGACAUAGUUUUAUUGAAUAUUGAUUGCUUCUUUUAAGUCCCAAUCAAAUGGAAGUUCAAUUUUGUCACUUCUAAGGUUCUAACUUUUAUUGAUGGUUUGGGUUUUUUAAUUAAUUAAUAAAUGUAGGAGUGAAGUUCAUCGAGUUGGGGAUUACCAUAGAACUGUGAACGCGUGGAUUUUUGCUGAGAGUACACAGGAACUGCUUCUCCAGCGACGUGCUGACUUCAAAGAUUCGUGGCCGGGGAUGUGGGAUAUCUCCAGUGCUGGCCAUAUAUCCGCUGGUGAUUCAUCGCUUAUAUCAGCCCAGUAAGGAAACUCCCCCUAGUCUUGAUGCUAGUUUUGCUGGGAUACCCUUUUUUGUAUUUUUUGUCGUCUAUUUUUGAAAUGGCACGUCUGGUUCAUGAUACAAAGUGUUUGCUUGUUUAUUAAGCUACCACUAAUUGGAUCCAUGGUACAAAGUGAUUACUUGUUUAUUAAGCUACCACUAAUUGGAUCCUUCGAAUAGCUUGAUCGGUAGAUAGAUAGAUAGUUUAUAGCUGUCAAUUAUUUGUUCAUUUCAUGUUUGCUUAUUAUGAAAACUUUCCAUGUAGAUCAGAGCCUGUCUUACUCUAUUUAGAGUUUAUAAUCUGAUCAGUGUAGUGUAACAUAGAGAGUGAAAGAUAAUUUUAGUGUUUAAGUUACUGCAUAAUAUUCAACUAUUAGGUAACAAUCCAAAUAAUUAUAUGAAGCUUUAAUAUACCACAGAAACAGAAGACAGAAACAAAACCAAACAAAAUGAAGACAGAAACAGAUACAAUUGCCAAUUACAUGGGUUCAUAUAUGAGACCUUUUUGUCGAAUUAGCUUUGAUUCUAUGUCAGUUGAACCGAUCAACCCACAAUUAGCAUAUACUGAUUACUUUCCUUUUUAGAAUUACCUCAUCCCAUGUUAUCAUCUAUUGGGUUUCUUACCAGGUAAGCUAUCCAAGAUUAGUCCUUCAAAAAGCUCAUCUAACAGAUAAUUAUUUCUUAUGUGAAGUGGGUGAUUGACUGGAUGGAAGCUUUAUUUCGUUAUGAUUGGUGAAAGUUGCCAUUGCUGUUGAUAUGCCACCAUGUUAUAUAUCCCACGGAGUGUCUGAUACAAGUUCUACAAUAGUAGGUUGUUGUAGGAAUGUGUCCUGUGAUAUCUAAUGACCACCUCGAAUCCCAUGUGCUUGGUUAUUUCUUUAUAAAUGUUCUGUGUAGAAGUUUAUAUGAAAUUGAUGAACAUGAUUAAAGUUUUGUUUCUGAUCCUUAUUGAUUAAAUUUGCAUGUUUUGUAAGAAAGUAUGCUGCUGUACAUGGUGAAUGUUGGUAAAGCUGAAUCCGUAGAUUGUACAAAUUUUACAUUUUUAUGAGUUACACAGGUCACUGUUCCUCCUUUUCUCACGUCUUUUCCCAUUUCUCUUUUUGUUCUUACUUGACACUGCUGUUGGAUUGCACAAUGUUCCAUUCUUUAAGUAGUGGUUUUAAAAUUGAACAUAUCAUGCUUGUUACUGAAAUUUGGUAUUGUUUGCAUUUAGGAGGGAGCUUCAAGAAGAGCUGGGCAUUAACCUUCCAAAGGAUGCAUUUGAGUUCCUAUUCACAUUUGUUCAACAGAAGUCAGUAUCUCAAAUUCUCUCCAUCCUCUUAAACACUCUACAGUGUUUAAUUUCUUUUGUUUAGUAGAUUAUGAGUUGUGCUUCGCCAAUGGCUGUCAUUUGUUCUUAUCAAUCUUGGUAGCUUCCGUCCAUUCCACUCAUGGAAGUAAUGCAGUUUCCUUUUCUCUUGGGUUCUGUUUUGUGGAAAAUCUGGAAAAAUUGAAACAGCAUCUUUCAUGUGUCAUGAUCCUCUUCAAAUUCAAUGUAAUUAUUUUAACAAAGCGAAAUUAAAGAAAUCUCCAGUGAAAUGAUUGAGGUAGCCUUUUACAUGGCUUGGGUUUGCAUUUUGAUUACAAGCACUUGAAGGAUGAUCUUUUUGUUCUAAAAUUGAAGCAAUUAAACUGAAAUUGAUAACACUGUCUUUUUGAUCAAGUAAAUUAAUCAAACAAUACCGUAUUUUUUCAAUAGAAAUAAUAAUAAAUUUUUCAUAUAUAAGUACUUGACUAGUAAAAUAUGCCAAAAAGCCAAGAAAAUACUUAAGUUGUGCCAGACUUUAAAUGAUGUAGGUUGCCUCCUGCUUAUACCUGCAGACUUGCACAGACACAACACAAAAAAAGAAAAAGAAGGGGCCCAUUUGUUCCCUCUGAACGGAAAGAAAUAGUGUAAUUUUGAUUGCAACAAAGGAGUAAUAGGAUUUUGAAUGAUUUCAGUUCUAAAAUUUGAACCGGAUAAAUUGAGAAAUUAAGUAGGAUAUGCAAAAAAUAUAUUGCUUAUUGUCAUCUCAUAGUCUGUACAAGGACAAAUCUGUUUGUCGUGUUUCCUUUUAUGAUUGAAUCAUUGUGAUUACUUUGUUCGUAUUGCUUCUCGUAUUGUGAAACCUAAUGUUCUUAGCAUCAUUUACUUUUGUAUCGCUGGGUUUAUUCAAUAGGUUGCCAGUUGAUCUUGAUUAUAAAGACCUAAAACUGCUUUUACAUUUGAAUGCAGUGUCAUAAAUGAUGGAAAAUUCAUUAACAAUGAAUUUGCCGAUGUAUACCUAGUGACGACUCUAAAUCCAAUUCCUUUGGAGGCCUUUACUCUUCAGGUGAGGAUUUUAAUGUUUCCACAUAGUUUAUUCAUACAGCCCACUGCUCAUAGCUUUAGUUGGUCCAACAAAGUGAUAUUGUGACCUUUAAUGUUAAAUGAUAUUUACAAUGAUCGUAGUAUUUGGGGGGNNNNNNNNNNNNNNNNNNNNNNNNNNNNNNNNNNNNNNNNNNNNNNNNNNNNNNNNNNNNNNNNNNNNNNNNNNNNNNNNNNNNNNNNNNNNNNNNNNNNNNNNNNNNNNNNNNNNNNNNNNNNNNNNNNNNNNNNNNNNNNNNNNNNNNNNNNNNNNNNNNNNNNNNNNNNNNNNNNNNNNNNNNNNNNNNNNNNNNNNNNNNNNNNNNNNNNNNNNNNNNNNNNNNNNNNNNNNNNNNNNNNNNNNNNNNNNNNNNNNNNNNNNNNNNNNNNNNNNNNNNNNNNNNNNNNNNNNNNNNNNNNNNNNNNNNNNNNNNNNNNNNNNNNNNNNNNNNNNNNNNNNNNNNNNNNNNNNNNNNNNNNNNNNNNNNNNNNNNNNNNNNNNNNNNNNNNNNNNNNNGGGGGGGUGGUUAACUUGGUUGAUUUUGUAUGGUUUCGGGAGGCCUUUGGUUUUGUGAAAGCUUUUGAAAUUGUUUGGUUUCAUAAACUAGAUAAAUUAUUCUGGGAGAUAUUCUUCUCUUAAUUGUACACUACUGGAGUGUUUUUGAGGCCCGCCAGCUUAUUCACUUUUUGUAAAUCUCCUGCAAUAGGCUAGGCCUCAACAUAGUUGCAGUUGCUUGAGACCAAACAGUUCUAGCGGGCUUGCCCUGCAUCAAGUGGCCGUGGUCUCAUUUUAAUAGUAAAUUGGUGGUAACUUAUGCUUGUUUAUUAUAUUUCACUGGCCAGCUGAGAGGAAAUGCUAGAAUAUGCAAAUUUCUGUUCAAGCUCAAUUGGCUUGUUGUUUGACAUGAUAUGCUUCUUGUUAUCAACCUGCCUUAGAAUCUGACUAUGUUUUUGCUUUUGCUUUUGGUAGCAAACGGAAGUUUCUGCUGUAAAAUAUAUUGCUUACGAGGAAUACAAAAACUUGCUUGCCAAGGAUGAUCCCAGUUUUGUCCCUUACGAUGUAAAUGGAGGAUAUGGUCAACUCUUUAAUAUUAUUUCUCAAAGGUAUGUACUGUAAUGCUGUGGUAUAGUCCAUUUGUCUAGUUUUUUAAAUACACUGUAGCAUCAUGGGUGUCCUUCCAUGGUCAGCCUUUUUGAAGAAUUUUUAAUCUUCUUAUAAGAAUUUUAUAAUAAUUAUGACAUGGUCUAGUGCUGCCAUCGUAAAGAAGUUCCUUUCUAGCUCGUUGGUUGCCCAGAUAUAUGUUCUUUUAUGCAUUUGUUCUACAAAGGACAAAGGAAUCUUGUCAUGUUGUCUAUACUGAAUCCGAAUUUCAAGUGAUGUUUUUUUCUUUUUACAACAUGUUUUUCAUCUCAAUUUGAUGUAGGUACAAAGAGAACACCAUGGAACGCAGUUUGACUCUACAAAAGCAACUCCGCCGAUAUGCUCAUGUUUCCCUCAAUGCUGAGGUUGUCAUUUUUCUUGUGUUCUUGGCAUUCUUCGGUGCCUUAUUCGUUAUGAUAUCUGUUUAAUUUAAGACCUUCGAGCUUUUAAUUUCCAUCAAUUUGGCAUAAUUUUUCAUGAAUGUUGUGGUUUUAAUGAUUUUGUUCUACCACUGGCAAUUAUAGCUUUUAUUCACAUUAUUUCCUAAACAUAUGAGACAUGUUAUUUCUGACAAUGAUUUGUAUUUCUUGAAGUCAGCUGUCUCCUCUGUACAUUUUCCUUUCUGUAUCUAUGCACUAAAUUGAAGCUCAGAAUUCUUUCCUCUAUACAGUUGGCCGGGCUUUCAGAUGCUGACAAGGAGGCUCUGGUUUUAGUCAUCAAGGCUGCAACUGUUAUGGAUGAGAUCUUUUACCUGCAGGUUGUAUUUAGGCAUUUUAAAUAAAUAGAUACACUAGCAGACAAGCUGCCAAGGAUUUAAUUGUACUGGGAAUCUCUUAUGCGUUAAUACUAUCUACAGUUUAAGACUUCAUUAUGAAUAUAUGCUGCACAUAUGAAGCAAUAUCAUCUUGAAAUGGAUUUUGAUAUGUGAUCAACAAUGUAUUUGAAUUUUUUCUUUGAAUUAUCAUUAGUAGGUAAUUUUUUAUGGGUUCCAGUCAUAUUGGAUGGUCUAGUACAGCAUAUUCACAAGCUAGCAUAUCUCAAAUGGGAAAAAGAAAUACCAAAACUUUGUUGUUUAAUUUUGUUUUUAGUGUAUGCUAAAUGUGGUGAAAAAGGGAGUUUCAGUUUAAUCAACUUGUAUGCUUUGGAUUUCUAUAUGUUCAGAAAAUGGUCAGAAUCAUAUCUUUAAAUCAUCUGAAAUUAUGUUUUCUUUGAAAUGUAAUAUAAGAAAUUAUUUACUGUCUUUUCUACAAGUAUUGAUAGUUUUCUGUAAAUCCAAGAUCUAGCUAACAUAAAUUUUCUUAUCCUCCAAAAUCAGGUUUGGUACAGCAAUCCAGUUCUGAGAGAUUGGUUAAAGGAGCAUGCUGAUGCAUCAGAAUUAGACAAGUUAAAAUGGAUGUACUAUUUGAUUAAUAAGAGUCCAUGGUAUGUCUUUUAGUGAAACUUUUCAAUUUCCUCUCUUCCUAAUGUCCUCCCUUUUAACAAUUUGUUUAUAUACUACCUAUAUUGUUUACCCCCAUCUUUUUGUUGCUUUCACCGGAUUUAUUACUUUCAAAGCAAGGUACCACAAAGGAGAUGUCUGUUUAUAAAAAAAAAAAAAUUCCCAUUCUCUAACAGGUCCUCCCUUGAUGAAAAUGAGGCAUUUCUGACCACCGCAGAUUCAGCUGUGAAGUUACUUCCUGAUGCUACAAAGCCUGUUAAUGGGUGGAAGGGUCUGGAAUACAAAGCUUCAUUUCCUUUGCCGAAACCUCCCGGUGCUAAUUUUUACCCUCCGGACAUGGAUAAAAUGGUAAUGGAUUAGAAGUUCAUAAUGUGCUGAAAGCAAAAUAUCUAUUUAAAUAGCAUCACAUCUUAUGGAGACCCAUAAGUUUCUCUCAUGUUCUAGGAAUUUGAAUUGUGGAAGAGCAGCUUAACAGAAAAGCAACAGGAAGAUGCAACAAGCUUUUUCACUGUUAUCAAGAGACGGAGUGAGUUUAAUUUAGACUCUUCACUAUCUGGUCAUAUUGUUGAUGCAACAAAUCAUUCAGUUGGCUCCAUAUAUGACCUGUAUAGCGUCCCUUAUUCUGAAGAAUAUAAUUCUUAUCUCACAAGAGCGUCUGAACUAUUGCAUAAAGCUGGGGACAUGGCCAGUUCACCUAGGUAUGUAUACUGAACAUCUUGUUGUUGAUAGCUCAUCUCCUACUGAAUCUCCGGACUUUGUUCUUGAGCUGAUUUUUACUGAAUCUUUAUGGCCAUUUGUAGUUUGAAGAGGUUGCUACAUAGUAAGGCCGAUGCCUUCCUUUCAAACAACUAUUAUGACUCGGACAUAGCCUGGAUUGAAUUGGUUAGAACCCUGUACACAUAUGUUUUACAUUCAUGUAACGAUUCAUCAUACACUGUAUAUCAUUCUGGGACAAACAAUGGAAAUAGCAUCUACUCAAAACUUUAUUUUAUUUUAUUUUUGAUUUAUGCUCUUGGGGACGGGGGAUGGCAUAGAACUUAACCGCAUGAAUGUUAUUGUAUGUAGGAAGAAGUUAACAAAUUGCACAUGGGAUAUUGUAAAGGCUAAUACUGACUUUUCUUGCCUUAGCCUUCACUUCUCUCUUCAAACACCAAUAUUCAUGUAUAAGAAACUGCACAUGCUCAAUCUCCUCUGAGAUUCUAAUUAUCAAUAUGAUUAGGAGAAAAAUGUAAGAAGGAAAUUUAAUGUUUUUGAAAGUCUAUUUCAAUCAAAUUCUUUGGAGUUCUAAAUGAGUAUGUAGACCACUGACCAAGACAUAAUGGAUUCAGUGCAACCAACUUGAUGAAGCUCUGUAUAAAUGAUAAGAGCUUAUAGCAGCGUAAUAUGAAAAUUAGAAUUAAUAUCUUUGUAGUUGAUGAGCUUGGAGACUGCAUUGCCCAUAAGAUUAAUUUAUAGACGGUGUCAGAUAUUGUUUCUAGCAUUUCUGCUAUCAUGGUUUAGUCAACUUAAAUGGAGAAUUUACUAGGUUAAUUUAAUUUCACAAGAUAGACGUAAGAUUAGCUAUCUUGGUCGGUUAUCAAGUCAUAGGUUGUCGUACUGAGAAUAUUGCAAGUUAGAUAGACGACCAGCUGUGUUUGUUGGUGGCAAUAUUUUCCAGAAGAAAUAAUGAAUAAUAGUAGUGAGGAGAGUGUGCUAAAUAUUAGUAAUAUUUUGGAAAUAUUUUUUAAUGUUCAUUUAGUUUACAGAUUAUUAAUUAUAUACUGAAUUAGGUGUUUCUUGUGUGGUACUGAAUUAUAGAAUAAAACUAUUCUUGUGGUAUUGGGUUAUUUGGCUCUACUUCUGCCUUCUAUAUCUGUUUGUGUUUUUGUUAUUCUUUUGUGGUUGUAAUGGUCCUGAAUCAUUCUAUUGGCUUGGUCCACAUGACAAGCUUGUUAGAUAUCAGUCUUUGCAAGUGAGGUGGGCUGCUAGAUCUUGAAUGCUUAAUACGAUUUUCUCUUUACCUAAGAGCUUAGGCUUUUAGGCAAAGUAGUUACUUAACAUGGAAGACCAUUGUAAUUUUCUAAUUCAAGCUUUUGUUAGGAAAUGAAGCUGUCUAUGAGAGAUAGAUUUCCAGAAUUUACAUAUAAUGAUUUGCUAGGGCUUUGUGAAAUAUUGUAUAAGCUCAAUAGCAUACUGGGUUUAAAAUUUGCCAUACUUUUGCUUGUCCCACUUACAGAUUUUGAGUCCACCUCUUCAAAUAAUUCCUGUCAAACACUAUUAAUGUGCUACUUGGAGUUCUUGGCAUAUAAUUUGCCCUUUUUCUUGUUGGAUGUAGGAUUCUGAGUUGGAUGUCACCAUUGGGCCUUACGAGACAUAUGAAGAUGCAAUUUUUGGGUACAAGGUAAAAUUUUAUAAAGCAUCAGUGUAGUGUAUGUGUAUGACUUUCAAGCAACAAGAAUAGAAAAUAAAUUACAAAAAAAAGGGUCACCUGUACUUGAAAUUAGAGAGAUCAAACCUUUUUAUGAUUUUUUUUUUUUGGUUAGGUGUACUAACAACUCAUAAUAGCGCUAAGACCCGGGCUAUAGUCAACUUAUAAAUGAAAUAGCAGAAAAUUUGCAAAAGCUUCCAGCAGUUAGAACUUCUGAGAUGUUUUACCAACUCUGAACAAUGCUGAGACAGGUUGUGUUGUCUUCUUUAGCAGUAGUAAUACGUGCAGUGAAUCAGGUUUAAUGUGUUGUGUAGUUUGAAGGUUUGUCGUACACCAGUGAGCUUGUAUUGGAGGCAAUCAGCAUUAUGCUUACUGCACUGUCCAAAUUGGCGGUAGAAAUGUGAAAAACAUCUUUUUACUACAUUAUUAGUCACAUAACUCUGAACUGUUUAGAAAAACUUUUAACAUUUGUUGACUGUGGCCUUUUAACAUUUCUAGCUGAAAAUUUAUUUGGUUCAAAAUGGAAAUUAUAUGAAAUAAAAAAUGGAGAAAGUUGACUAGGAGUAUUCUUUUCUAUAACUUUCAUUUUUACAUAACAUACAUCCUAGUGCGAAUAUUUAUUUGAAAAGAAACUUUGUGACUGUACAUCCUUGCUGCUGUUCAUAAAUCUAUUGUAUCAAACAUGUAGCUCACUAGUUGUAUUAUAUUUAUAUUAGGCGACAUUUGAAGCGUUUAUUGGGAUUCGGGAUGACAAAGCAACAGCUCAAGUUAAACUCUUCGGUGAUAAUUUGCAGGUGCUUUUAUGGGUUCAAUUUGUAACCAAUUUCUCAUAUCUAUACUACCAAAAUUUUGUUGCUAAUAGAUAUUGUUUGCUUUCUAGGUUUUGGAACAAAAUCUUCCAAUGGAUAAUGCAUAUAAAUCCAAAGAUGUCAUUGCUGCUCCCAUUCGUGUCAUUCAGCUUAUUUAUAACUCAGGAGUGAGUAAUUUUUAGAAAAUACCCGCAUGCUGAUUAUUGCUUCUACUUGAUCAACAGUGGAUUGGAAUCUAAACACUCAGUUAUUUUAUCUUUUAACAGCAUUAUUUUGAAUCCUUCUCUGGCUCUCCCUCUCCACGUGUUGUGCACAAACACUCGUGUGCUCUCCCCAAGCUCAAAUUUUCAACUAAUAUUUUAUUUCUGCAUUUGAGUCUGAUCUUAUUCUGAUUAGUUCAUCUGGAUUAGAUUUGAACCAACCAGUUCUAGAUCAGAAGAGUCAUUGCAUCGUCUAGUCAAUUGGGAUUAAGAUUUUGAACCAAAUUAUAAUCUAUUAUUAUAAUAAGGAAUAUAUAGUUCAGAACAUUACUGCCAGCUGUAUCUUUACGGGUAUCAUUUUUUGUAUUUCUUUACAUGCAUUUUAUUAUUUUUUGGGUAAAUAGCUAAGUUUUAUGAAUUUGACUUUACAUCAGGAUGUGAAAGGUCCUCAGACUGUUGCUUUCAAUUUGCCUAAUGAUGAGCGUAUAGUAAAAGAUCGAGGAACAUCAAUGGUUAUGCUUAAAAAUGUUUCAGAAGCAAAGUACAAUUCAUUACCUUUAAAUUUCUUAAUUAUCAUGUUUUAAGUUGUUCUGUUCUGGUAAAAUUAUAAUCUGAAUCUUCUUUUAAAAUAUAUGACUGUUUUCUAUCCAGGUUCAAGAAUAUUCUUCGGCCCAUAGCUGAUGUAUGUAUCAGAAAGGAACAGCAGGAACUUGUAGAUUUUGAUUCUUUCUUCACUCACAACAUCUGCCAUGAGUGCUGCCAUGGUAUUGGGCCUCAUAGCAUCACACUUCCAGAUGGUCGACAGUCUACAGUGAGAUUGGUUAGUUGUAUUGAUUUCCUUUUCUGCAUACUUUAUAUGUGUUACUUCAUGUCAGGUUCACAUACUUUUCUGCAUACUUUACAUAUUUGUCACUUCAUGGCCGGUUCACAUACUAUGAUUUCUGAGUUUUAAUGUGUCAAUAUGUUUUUACAUUGUCUUCUAUAAUAGAAUGAUACUUAGCAAUGCAGAUAUAUUUUAUCUUUAUCCUUGUCAUAUUACAUCAGCAAUGCUACCAUAUUUGAGUUUAUUGGCCUUCUCUAUUCUUAUUGCGGGAGGAUACAUUACCUAAAUUGAGUAAACUCGUCCGUUCAGUUUCUUACCUGGUGCUCAAGAGUUUGGUCUAAGCUAUAAUAACUCUUCAAAUUAGAUUACUAUUCGAACGGAGUACUCAAACGAACCCAAUCACUUCAGCAUAAAGCCAUCUCCAAUGCAUAACACUAUUUUGGUGUAACACCAACACUAAAAAUGUACCUUUUUCACACCAAAUUACUAUUUCAUCUCCAACCCAUUUACACCAAAUUUUACACCAAAAAGAAUAUUCUUCUUUUUAUUCCUUUAAUUCUCAAGAAUUAAUUCAAUUAACACAAUAAAUAUUACUAUUAAUAUAGAUAAUUAAGUAAUAAGUAAUUUUAUAUCGAUUAACAAAAAAAAUAUAGAAAAUUAUUAAAUUUACAUUUAAUUAACUAAAUUAGUACAUUAUGAAAAUUAAACAUUACAUUAAUAUAGAAAAUUAUAACAAUAAUAAGUGCAUUAUGAAAAUUAAACAUUACAUUAAUAUAGAAAAAUACAAUAACAAUAAAUAACAACAAUAAUAUAGAAAAAUACAAUACAAUAACAAUAAUACUCUAGUGAAUACUUUUAUUAUUAAUUUUUGUGUUGAAUAUUUUUUAUUUAAAAUAUUAGUAUAAUAUUCAAAAAUUAAAAAAUGAAAUUAAAAAAUGAAAUUAAAAAAUAACAAAAAUAAUAAUAAUAACUUAAAAUAUUAUAUAAAAUAGGACAUAUAUGUAAAUAAGAUAAAGUAAUAAGGAUAUUUGAGAAUUUUUUUCCCUAGCACCAAAUAUGGUGUAAUGAAUAGUAUUGCACCAUAUUUGGUGCAAUACUAUUCAUUACACCAUUUUGGUGUUGAUUUUGGUGUUACAUUGGAGAAGUAUUUUACACCAAAAAUUGUGUAAAAUGUGAUUUGGUGUUACGUUUAGUGCUACAUUGGAGAUGCCCUAAGCUCUUAGAAAACCUAAACAUCUUUUAACUUGGAGGGAAAAUGCUCCAUCACUGCACCAAAAUUCCAUUUCUGUGACUUAGAGGUACUAUAUUUUAAUGGCGUGGAUUCUUCUAAACAGUAUGAUGAGAAGUGAAAAGUUAAAUGCCCAAGAAAAAUAGUCACUGCAAUUGCGAGUCACUGAGAGACUUGAGCUGGCAACUGCUCCAGUCUAAAUUCAGUAGUUCUUUGACUUAAUGCUAUA